GAUGAACGCUGGCGGCGUGCCUAAUACAUGUAAGUCGAGCGAACGGACGAGAAGCUUGCUUCUCUGAUGUUAGCGGCGGACGGGUGAGUCACACGUGGAUAACCUACCUAUAAGACUGGGAUAACUUCGGGAAACCGUAGCUAAUACCGGAUAAUAUUUUGAACCGCAUGGUUCAAAAGUGAAAGACGGUCUUGCUGUCACUUAUAGAUGGAUCCGCGCUGCAUUAGCUAGUUGGUAAGGUAACGGCUUACCAAGGCAACGAUGCAUAGCUGACCUGAGAGGGUGAUCGGCCACACUGGAACUGAGACACGGUCCAGACUCCUACGGGAGGCAGCAGUAGGGAAUCUUCCGCAAUGGGCGAAAGCCUGACGGAGCAACGCCGCGUGAGUGAUGAAGGUCUUCGGAUCGUAAAACUCUGUUAUUAGGGAAGAACAUAUGUGUAAGUAACUGUGCACAUCUUGACGGUACCUAAUCAGAAAGCCACGGCUAACUACGUG
RNAcentral lists this ribosomal RNA (497 nucleotides) under uncultured bacterium. RNAcentral describes it as "partial 16S ribosomal RNA". It matches the Rfam family "Bacterial small subunit ribosomal RNA", at positions 28 to 507 of the family's 1533-position model. The record is from RNAcentral.